This is a long non-coding RNA of Labeo rohita (rohu), 292 nucleotides long. RefSeq lists it as uncharacterized. The transcript is spliced from 3 exons. The record is from RefSeq and is a predicted model, not a curated record. Lineage: Eukaryota; Metazoa; Chordata; Actinopteri; Cypriniformes; Cyprinidae.
CGUUAGCGUGAAGACACAACAACAACGCGACUGGUUCUCUGAGGUCUGCUAGACAACUGUUUGUUAAGGAUGUGGAAAGUGUUGCUGGACAGGGCUCUCCAACUGCAGCAGGACCUGUGUCGCUCCACUAAACUCUAUGACCAGAUUAUGGUGCUUGUGCUCAUGGUGAACACUGCAACACAGGUGGUGAUGACAUUUGAAGGACUCGCACCAGCUUGGGUUUAUGAAGCACUGGAGGCAGUUUUCUUGGCUUUUUAUAUGAUAGAGUGUGUGUUAAAGCUCAUAACUUCUG